Pocillopora verrucosa is the source of this 650-nucleotide non-coding RNA. The record is from RefSeq and is a predicted model, not a curated record. Lineage: Eukaryota; Metazoa; Cnidaria; Anthozoa; Scleractinia; Pocilloporidae.
GUGGAGUUAUGGCAUCGUCCUACAUGAGAUAUUCACACUCGGGGGGAACCCUUACGAUGGAAUGAGCGGACAAGAAGUAUUUACAUACGUGUCGCAUGGUCAUAAAUUGCGAAGGUCGUCAGGCGUGAGCCGAGAAUUGUAUAAAUUGAUGCUUCGGUGCUGGGACCAAGAGCCAUCCAGGCGACCGACAUUCGAAUCAAUUACGUCUUGGAUGGAAACUUAAACGCAUCCUUUCUGUACAAAAAUUCGGAAUACCUCGCAAAUUAUAAGCUAGGCGUAAUGUAUAUCAAUGAACUUUUACCUACUAACAAGGUUGGAACAGAAAAUACUUCAAUACCAACAGGGAAUGGAAGUCUUGAUAAAUUUUUCUGGCUUUAAAUUACCAUGUUAGCAAGAGAAGAUAAUCCUUUCUUGAUGUUAAUCGCGGUUCAAGGUUUUUCAUUUAGUUACGUUAUCAAGCAAAGAGGUUGGAAUCAAUUAUUGUCUAUAUUUUUACAUCACAGAAUCGAUACAAAUAACAAUUCCUAGGUUGGACGGCAUUCAUAUAGUAAUGCUUAUGUUUGUUUUAUAGCUGUACAAAAAAUAGGAAGAUUUUAAAUAUAUUAUUAUAUGAAAAACUUUAUUUCUAAGUUAAAUACGGUUAAAAGUAU